GACAUUUCAAGUUUAGGGUUGGGUUUCUCAUUUCUUUCUCUUCGAGUUUGAUUCCUUCUACAGCAGCUCCUCUCCUCCUUCUGUGACGACGAGACGAUGCCGGCGACCACAUCUCCUCUCCUCUCAAGUUUUCAUAGUUAUGAUUUCCCUUUCUCACUCUCAUCUGGAUCUCUAUGGCUGGCUUUCUCUCAACCUCUCUGUGGCUGGCUUUCUCUCAACCUCUCUGUGGCAGGACUUCCCAACCCAUUGAACAUGAAACUUCACUGCAAUCAAUGGUACCAUGCAUAUGAAGAGUCCUAAUUUACACGACUUCUAUAUCUUCUACAUGGGAAAGGGACUUACUCUUCUUCUUGUGCUUCUUAAUUUCAAAUUGGUUUUGAUUAUGUUUUUCA
Molecule: long non-coding RNA, 392 nt
Organism: Prunus dulcis (almond)
Lineage: Eukaryota; Viridiplantae; Streptophyta; Magnoliopsida; Rosales; Rosaceae
Exons: 3
Source: RefSeq, a predicted model, not a curated record